This 200-nucleotide ribosomal RNA is filed under the name uncultured bacterium. RNAcentral describes it as "partial 16S ribosomal RNA". It matches the Rfam family "Bacterial small subunit ribosomal RNA", at positions 8 to 210 of the family's 1533-position model. The record is from RNAcentral.
AGAGUUUGAUCCUGGCUCAGAUUGAACGCUGGCGGCGUGCCUAACACAUGCAAGUCGAGCGGUAACAGGCGUAGCAAUACGUGCUGACGAGCGGCGAACGGGUGAGUAAUGCUUCGGAAUCUACCCAGUAAUGGGGAAUAACCAUCCGAAAGGAUGGCUAAUACCGCAUACGUCCUACGGGAGAAAGCGGGGGAUCGUAA